UGCUGGGACUGCUCAGUUGGUAGAGCAUGAGACCCUUAAUCUCAGGGUUGUGGGUUCAAUCCCCACAUUGGGCAA
This 75-nucleotide transfer RNA is filed under the name Podarcis lilfordi (Lilford's wall lizard). RNAcentral's name for it is "tRNA.Lys". The stretch from base 11 to 66 matches the Rfam family "tRNA", at positions 10 to 63 of the family's 71-position model. From Rfam's summary of the family: Transfer RNA (tRNA) molecules are approximately 80 nucleotides in length. The record is from RNAcentral. Lineage: Eukaryota; Metazoa; Chordata; Lepidosauria; Squamata; Lacertidae.